Molecule: ribosomal RNA, 467 nt
Filed under: Enterobacteriaceae bacterium CAU0858-2
Lineage: Bacteria; Pseudomonadati; Pseudomonadota; Gammaproteobacteria; Enterobacterales; Enterobacteriaceae
Description: bacterial SSU rRNA
Rfam family: Bacterial small subunit ribosomal RNA
Source: RNAcentral
AAGGUGCCUUCGGGAACUGUGAGACAGGUGCUGCAUGGCUGUCGUCAGCUCGUGUUGUGAAAUGUUGGGUUAAGUCCCGCAACGAGCGCAACCCUUAUCCUUUGUUGCCAGCGGUCCGGCCGGGAACUCAAAGGAGACUGCCAGUGAUAAACUGGAGGAAGGUGGGGAUGACGUCAAGUCAUCAUGGCCCUUACGACCAGGGCUACACACGUGCUACAAUGGCGCAUACAAAGAGAAGCGACCUCGCGAGAGCAAGCGGACCUCAUAAAGUGCGUCGUAGUCCGGAUUGGAGUCUGCAACUCGACUCCAUGAAGUCGGAAUCGCUAGUAAUCGUGGAUCAGAAUGCCACGGUGAAUACGUUCCCGGGCCUUGUACACACCGCCCGUCACACCAUGGGAGUGGGUUGCAAAAGAAGUAGGUAGCUUAACCUUCGGGAGGGCGCUACCCACUUUGGAUUCGCUAGGCGC